GCCGGGUGGGGUGGUGGGCACCUGUAAUCCCACCUACUCGGGAGGCUGAGGCAGGAGAAUUGCUUGAACCCAGGAGGCAGAGGUUGCAGUGAGCAGAGAUCAUGCCACUGCAGUCUAGCCUGGGUGACAGAGCAAGACUCUGUCUCAA
This is an unclassified non-coding RNA of Pongo abelii (Sumatran orangutan), 148 nucleotides long. It matches the Rfam family "Metazoan signal recognition particle RNA". Rfam says of the family: The signal recognition particle (SRP) is a universally conserved ribonucleoprotein. NCBI's taxonomy places the organism in Eukaryota, Metazoa, Chordata, Mammalia, Primates, Hominidae. The record is from Ensembl.